AUAUUUACCUUAGUUGCCCAACAACUUAGCAGUCCUUUUAGCAGCCAGUGACUUGUUGCCACCUGACUAUGUCCAGCAGCAUUUGUCAGAGUGAUUUGACGCUGACUGGUCAACAGGUAAUCUGUCUAAAGUUCAGAAGGUGUCAGGAUGCCAUCCUGAAGCUCCACAGUGACAGCCUCUCAAGUCUGUGCACUGUCCCCCACAGGUGACCCCAAAGCCAGCUGCCCAUUUAACUGGGCACGGCAUGGACACUGGCCCCAGCUCUCAGCCUUCUGAGGAGGACCAGUCCACCAUGCCUGAAGUCAAAGACCUCUCAGAAGCCUUGCCAGAAACGUCAAUGGAUCCCAUCACAGGAGUCGGGGUGGUGGCUUCUCGGAACCGAGCCCCGACAGGCUAUGACGUAGUUGCACAGACAGCAGAUGGUGUGGAUGCUGACCUCUGGAAAGAUGGCUUAUUUAAAUCCAAGGUUACCAGAUACCUGUGUUUCACAAGAUCAUUUUCCAAAGAAAAUAGUCAUCUGGGGAACGUGUUAGUAGAUAUGAAGCUCAUUGACAUCAAGGACACACUGCCUGUGGGCUUCAUCCCAAUUCAGGAGACAGUGGACACACAGGAAGUGGCUUUUAGGAAGAAGAGGCUGUGCAUUAAAUUUAUUCCACGGGAUUCAACGGAAGCUGCAAUUUGUGACAUUCGGAUCAUGGGCCGGACCAAGCAGGCCCCACCUCAGUACACGUUUAUCGGGGAGCUGAACAGCAUGGGGAUCUGGUAUCGAAUGGGCAGAGUACCAAGAAAUCAUGACUCAUCUCAACCCACAACGCCUUCCCAGUCAUCAGCUGCUUCCACCCCAGCCCCCAACCUUCCCAGGCACAUCUCUCUAACACUUCCUGCCACCUUCCGAGGCAGGAACAGCACCCGGACGGACUACGAGUACCAGCACUCCAAUUUGUAUGCCAUAUCAGGUACGUCGGGCCACCGCUGCACUCCAAUUUGUAUGCCAUAUCAGCAAUGGAUGGUGUGCCUUUUAUGAUUUCAGAGAAGUUUUCUUGUGUUCCAGAAAGUAUGCAGCCUUUUGAUCUCCUGGGAAUCACCAUCAAAUCUCUAGCAGAAAUCGAAAAAGAGUACGAGUACAGCUUCCGCACAGAGCAGAGCGCAGCCGCCAGGCUCCCGCCCAGCCCCACCAGAUGUCAGCAGAUCCCGCAGUCCUGAGGAGCCAGCGGCCACCUGCGGGGAGACCACCGCCCAGACUACUGACGGCAGGGGCUGCUGCCCCCGCCUCCUCCCGCCGCCUCCACCAGCCCUCCCUUCCACACUGCCCCAGCAGGGCUGGCCCAGAGACUGGGCAGCUAAGUGGGCGCUUCCUGUCUUCAGCUGGCCUGACACCCCGGCCUCCCUGGGGACGUUGUUCAUAACCAUGACUAAUCUGUGUGUGCUGUAGUGACCAGCGGCUCCUAACGUGUCUGUGUGAUGACCAGUUGUCCUCCAAAAACCUCACUCACCACGGAGUCACCCUGAGGGCCCCGGGCAGUUGCCCCGGCCGCCCAGUGACGCCCACCGGCUCCCUCCAUUCCCUCCUGUCACCUCCCAGGGCAGACCCCACUAAGCCGUUGAGUCCCUUCCUGGAAGACCCUGGGGGCCUAUAGCUUUGGCUAGGACUCUCCAGGGUCGCUGACCCUCCCUGGCCUGGGGCUGCCAGGACCAAGUUCCUCUCUGCAGGAUCUCACAGCAGCCCUGAGAAGACGUGGAAGGAAGAAGCCAGCUGCCCCGGAGUGAACCCUGCCCUUUGGACGCCCCAUGGACUUCUCACCCAGUCGCCUGGAAGUCGGGGAGCAGCACCCCUGCCCCCGGCGGAGGGGCUGUUGCUUUCUGGGGAGGAGGACGGUUGAUGGCCCUGCUUGGAUCCACCACCAGGACACUGUGCUCGGCCUUGGCGCGCCUCCCCCAAGGGCUCAUCUGCGCAACAACCACAUGCCAACGAUAACUCCAGGUGCCUCAGCCCGUGCCCUGACCCAGGGACCACAGGGACACCCUCUGAGACGUGCUGGCCCCGGGAGGAUACAGGCACACGGGCACCUAGCCCCUCUCGCAGCCAGGCGUGUCUUGACGGUGUCUGCUAACAGGAACAAGUCAUUCUGCAAGGUCCCUCUGACCCAGGUCACCAAAUUUGGGCCAGAACUGGCAUUUCUCCUGAGUACCCACUGGUGCUGGCGUCCUCACAGUGCUGGGCGCCAAGUUCAGCCCCAGGCGCGUUUGCCUAAGCAGUGGUGGCUGCCAUCCCUCAGGGCCCGGGCCCUCACGUGAAGGGCUGCCUCGCUCUGUGCUGUCAGGCAUUGGACUGUGUCCUGAUUCCUCAGAGUAUGGGGACCUGAUAUCUUUGGGUCCCCAAGAGUUGGCUCUUGGAUGUGGGGGCUUGAUGCUGCGGUUGGCGGCUGCAGUAUCUGGGUCCAUGGAAGCCACUGCCUCAGCAGGGACAGCCUCUCCCGCUGCGGGCCCUGGGCAGCCCACAGUAGUGCUAGCUGAGGCCCAGAAGAACAGGAGGAAAGGGAGGUAGCGCCGGACAGUGCAGCUGGCCAAGAGGCGGGCGGGGCCGGAAAUACCUCAUGCCCCUGCACCAGCCCCUCCGUCUCCAGGCCCCAGGCCCCUGUGUGGACCCAUCUUCCUCCUCUGCCACCCCGAUCUUCACUCGGAUACCUCUUGAUUUCUGUGGAUUAGGGAAGCAGCCACUUCUCCCUCCCUGAGACCCGAGGACGCCCGUGGUGGGGGUGGCCUUCUCAGGCCUCCUGGGUAGCACAGCAGCAGGACCUCGUCACAGGACUGAUGCUGAGCGGGGAGGGGGCUGCCAGGCUGGCCGCCGAUGCUCCGUUCACAUAAGCCAGUGUGGUUCUGGGGACCUGAGGAGCCCCGUGGCACCCACGGGGGGCACCUAUGUCCGCCGUGGCUCCUCGGCACCUAUGUAUGGUGGCCCGUGUGACCAAGGCCAACAACAAGGGUGACUUCCGGCAGGCAGGGGCGGCAGGAGGGCAGAGGGCAGAGCUCUGGCCACUUCUGCCCACUUCAUUAGGGUUUGUGAACUUUGUCCUUCGACCUCUUUUCAUGCCCUGGUUGUGAGAUCGCCUCUGACAGAUAAUGCCAGGGGCCCUUCACUCCACUCCCGUGACUGGGAAAAGGCCUGUGGCAGCUCUGCUGGACCCUAGGAGGCUCAGAGGCAGUGGUGUGGGAGCCCUGUCUGCAAGGACGCGGAACAAGCAGUGAGGGCGGCUGCAGGAGGGGAAGGGGCUCCCACAGCCCCCGCUGACACCCCUGCAGGCCUCUCUCGAGCUGGGGUCCCAGCCAGGUGCCCCCACAUGCCCUCCUGCAGUUGCUGGAUGGACAGGGCCUCCAGGCCACCAGGAAGAGGACAAACUCCGUGGACUCGGGCGAGCUGGAGCCAUCUUCUCCAUAGCAUUACGGACUUAGCAUAAGAGUAAAUGACUGUGAACGUUGUAGUAAACGGCAGCUUCAGAUAAGUAAGCAGUGACAGUGUUAAGGACAAGUUGGUGUCUGUGGUAGGUUUUAGGCUGCUCCUAACCCACCAUUUAUUGCCUUCUGAGAGGUGGGUGAGGACAAGCGUGUGCCUGUGUGUGUGUGUGUGUGUGUGUGAGCACGUGUGCGUGUAAGCCCACCUGAGUGGGGCUGGUGCGGGAAAACUGAGGCAUGGAACUCUGGCUCAUACCUAGGAAUUGAGAGCUUUUCUGUCUUUUGGGAGAGUACUUUUCUCCACGAGCCCUCUGGCCGCUGUGGGAGGGAAGGACAAGGCUUUCCUUGGAAAUGGGAAGGGUCUUGGCCUCAUCCCUCAGGUCCCCCCCACAGCACUUCCCACCACUGCUGCUGUCCCUGCCGGCAGCCUCUGUCCCUCCAGAAUGGCUAACCAGAGCACACCGUCCCCACCACCUCCCCUUUCUCUCUGGAAAGUUGAAGAGUCUUUCCAGAGGCCUUGGAAAUGGCACAAAGGUGAUCAGGAGCAGGUGCUUUGCUGCAGGCUCCCUUGCAAAUGUAUAAUUAAGGCCUUUCUUCCCACCCCAAGUCCAAGAACAAAUGCCAGCCAUGUCCUCCGCCACUUGGAGAGAUGAGAACCCAGUGGGGUCGUGUAAAGGAAUUGGAGGUCAGUGGGAGAACGAGGGACUCCCGUGUUCUAAGCAUCUGCUCCCGGCCAGGCUCUCUAAGCACAUUUCUCCUUUCAUUCCCCCUAAAAACAGAGUGACCUGGAAGUAGAUGUUCUUUGCUCCUUGUUAGAGUUGAAGAGGCUGAGGCCUGACCGGCUGCUAAGCGGCAGAGGCGGGGGUCGGCCCCCAGCCCCCGGGCCAGCCAUCUCGUCGCAGGCCUGUGCUGGGGAUGCUCUUUCUGUUUCCAGUCCUGUCACGGACUUCCCAGCCGCCACUGGGCCCUGCCGGUCACCAGGCCACUGUGCAGUGGGUGCUGAGCACAGUCAGGAGUGGCCUACCCGCACUCCUCCACCAAGAUGAGGGCCCUCCAGAGCCUACAGGCGUCUGUGGGGAAUCCCAGCCUGCAGCUUCUCAGAGGACUGGGUGGGCCUGAGGAUGAAGGCAAAGGAGGGCCUUGAGGAAGCAGCCCCCGGGCCUGGCAGCCACGCAGCGGCUGAGCUCAUGAACUCGGUUCGCGGCCUGCCUUGUCCCCAGAGGCCACACCAGGCACUCACCCCUGAGCCCACAGCCCCUGCUUGGGGACCCUCAGGACAGCCCACUCUCCUCCUGCCACUCUGAGCACAUGUCCGGGGGUUGCCACCAGAGACGGCUUUGUUUUCCCAGCCAAGGCCGUGGAGCUGCUGUGUGACUGUGUCAGGCCUGGACAAGGCCCUUAGGGAUGACGUCCCCGCUGCAUAUUUAUUCAAGGUGACUCUUGUACUUGGCAAGGGAAGUCCACUGUGUGAUUGUCUGUAUUCUUAAUAUAAUUUGUUAAAUAAACGUUUGUUUUAACCUCUUU
RNA transcript from Piliocolobus tephrosceles (Ugandan red Colobus), 4974 nucleotides. It is a transcript of the gene named multivesicular body subunit 12B, with no coding region annotated. NCBI's taxonomy places the organism in Eukaryota, Metazoa, Chordata, Mammalia, Primates, Cercopithecidae. The record is from RefSeq and is a predicted model, not a curated record. The transcript is spliced from 10 exons.